CCGGGACUGCCUGGCGAGUGUACAUGCUCGCAGGGCAAGGGCAGCGCAGCACUGAGCUACUCAGGCCCAGGCCCCUCCCAGGCAGAGCAAUGAGUCCAGCAGCUCUGCCCGCAAGGGUCUGGGGCUGCCAUGGGCUAACCAAGAGGUGUCUGAGGAGAUUGCAGACAGUGGCUGGAGACGGAAGGUGAAAAAGUUAGAAGAUCCAGGUUGGAAAAAUUUGAGGAAGAAAGUAGUCAGACAGGUGUGGGCAGAAUAGGGUCAAACUCUCCUGCAGACCAGGACACAGGCUCUGACUUCUCCACACCACACCCCAGGCCCUCCAGGUCACUUCCUGCUGCAGAGUCCUCACUCCAGCUUUCUCACCAAUCCUCCCCCUACACAAGAAGAUCAUCUCUGGGUUCAGGUCACCCAUCCAACUCCACUGAUGGAUUUAGGCUCAUUUAAUCCAAACUCGACUCCAUUUCAGCCAGAACCAGGCACCUCUAGAAAGGUCACCCUAACUGCCACAUCCAGUUCCUGAUCUGCCAUCUGCUUCUUUUCCAUCACUUGUGGGGUAUUUCCCAGCCUACCACUAAUGUGAGCCCUCCUGAGUCAAAAGUUCCCCUCUUCCAGGCCUCCUGCUCAGCUGACGUCCUGGACCAGGCAGGCCACCCUUGUUCCACUUCCCCUGGGAAGACACCUGGGUCUUGUGCCUGCCCUGGAUUAGGGUGGGCAAAUUAGUUCAUCCAGGACUAGAAGAAUGGAAAUAAACAGACUUGUGUCUUGGGGCUGACUCUGAAAGGUCCAAUGUUAUGCCUAACAGAAAAGCUCACCUUCCUCCAAACCCCUGGAGCCAUCUCAGGAGGCCCAGGGCCACCUAUUCCAUUCCUGACAAAACCCUAGAUGCCCACAUACUGCCCAGCCAGGUGUGACAUGGGCCUCUGUGACCCAAGCUGAGGACUAACCCACCGCUCAUAACACGGUUUCUACGGGAAAACCAAGUUGUGAAUUUUGAAUUAUCAGCCCACUGAGGGUGGAAGUCCAAGAUCUGUGGUGAUUUGGGUGCUGAUGCAAGCCAGAAGUCACAGCCCAGAGCCUGCAGCGGCUGCACUGCUGGGUCCCCAGUCCUCGAUGGGCACCAGCCAACCUGCCCUCUCGACCCUCCACAGCAACUCAGGCCCCCACUCCAUGGCUCCCCUGCACCAUCCUCAUGCCUGGUCAACUCUUGCUGCCAGUUGCUGUGAGACCCAGCUCACCACUGGGCAAACAGAGCUUGCAAAAUGCAGCCCAUGCUCACCAUUCAUGGAUUCCAUAUGUACAAAUUCACCUACCUGCGAAAUUGUAUCUGUAACCCCAAAAUCAAUACUGGCUGCACUUUUGGGGUCAUUCUCGGACACACACAGAGUGGGGAAGAAUGAGGGCUGCUCAACACGCACAUUCCCAGCGGGGGUGGAACAAGGCCCGCUCAGCCUGCUGGCUUCAGCUCCCACAAUGCAAACAAGUGUCCUUUUCGCAGGCUAUUUGGUGCCACAUUUUUCAUGCUUUUGUGCUUUGUGUUGGUGAUUUCACUGUUUAAAAUGUCCCCUAAGCAUAUUCGAAGCAACCUGGAUGAGACUGGAGACUAUUAUUCUAAGUGAAGUAACUCAGGAAUGGAAAACCAAACAUUGUCUGUUCUCACUCAUAAGUGAGAGCUAAGCUAUGAGGAUGCAAAGGCAUAAGAAUGACACAAUGGACUUUGGGGACUCAGGGAGAAAGAGUGGGAAGGGGGUGAGGGAUAAAAGACUACAAACUGGGUUCAGUGUAUGCUUCCCAGGUGAUGAGUGCACCAAAAUCUCACAAAUCACCACUAAAGAACUGACUCAUGUAACCAAAUGCCACCUGUUCCCCAAUAACCUAUGAAAAUAAAAAAAAAAAUUAAUGUCCCCCAAG
Molecule: long non-coding RNA, 1908 nt
Filed under: Homo sapiens (human)
Lineage: Eukaryota; Metazoa; Chordata; Mammalia; Primates; Hominidae
Description: HSALNT0021427
Source: RNAcentral